This 274-nucleotide ribosomal RNA is filed under the name uncultured bacterium. RNAcentral describes it as "partial 16S ribosomal RNA". It matches the Rfam family "Bacterial small subunit ribosomal RNA", at positions 523 to 796 of the family's 1533-position model. The record is from RNAcentral.
AUACAGAGGGUGCGAGCGUUAAUCGGAAUUACUGGGCGUAAAGCGCGCGUAGGCGGCUUGGUCAGUCGGAUGUGAAAGCCCCGGGCUCAACCUGGGAAUGGCAUUCGAUACUGCCAGGCUAGAGUAUGAGAGAGGGAAGUGGAAUUUCCGGUGUAGCGGUGAAAUGCGUAGAUAUCGGAAGGAACACCAGUGGCGAAGGCGACUUCCUGGCCCAAUACUGACGCUGAGGUGCGAAAGCGUGGGGAGCGAACAGUAUUAGAUACCCCAGUAGUCC